Gallus gallus (chicken) is the source of this 1221-nucleotide long non-coding RNA. RefSeq lists it as uncharacterized. The transcript is spliced from 2 exons. The record is from RefSeq and is a predicted model, not a curated record. NCBI's taxonomy places the organism in Eukaryota, Metazoa, Chordata, Aves, Galliformes, Phasianidae.
GGAUCUCUAUCUGGGAAUCACUCCUCUUGGAGCCCUUCUGCGAGCCCAGGACACAGGCACGGCGUGCUUCGAAGUCCUCUCUGCCCCACAGCUGCCAGGCUGGAAGGAGACAGAACAUAGCCAGCAUCCCACAGCCCAAUUAGGAGCUGCUAUCCAGAAAUCAGGUGCCUCUGACCAUCACAAACGUUAUGGGACCACGGAGCUGCACUCACAGCUGCUGCCUCUCCCUCUGCCAGAGCUACGCCAGGAAAAACACAGCGAUGGGAACAUUGGAAUUGAGGUACUUUUUAUUGUAGUGUUCCAUAAACCCAAAGGGCACUUAAAAACAAACAGCACCCGCAAUAAAAGCAGACCAUAUAAACAGGGAAAAAUACGUUUAGGUCCUUCAGUAAUCAAUCAGUAAAAUGCACUCGAUUCUUAGGCCCCUUAAAACCAAGGUGAGCAGCCCUUACACCAGAGAAAGGCUUUACAUAGUAUUGCUGACCAAAGAUGGAGGUAUGAGGUUUGUGCCAUGUCUUCACAGCUGUGGAAUGGAAGCGUGGCUCAUCCAGGAGCGCUGCCUGCAGCAGCACCUGUCACCACAGGAGAUAACCCACAGCAUAAAGGCCUCAAUGGGCGAAGUGGUAACUGGCAAAGGACAGUACCAGUCGUAAGGCUUUGUCUCUAAGGAGACUUAUUAGCACACACUGCCAUUUUGUGUGCAGAGCCUCGAGAUGCACAUUCCUGCCAAAAGGAAUGCACAAAACCCACUGUAAAAGCUUCAUGAAAUCCAGACUGCAAGAGCGCAGUGCACAGCAUCACAGACCACAGCAAAGACACAGCAGUGCCCUCUCUGCUCCAAUGAGAUCCAUAAAAGCACAUCAGGCCUUCCUCAGCCUGUCCAGUGAUGACUACCAACAGCAGCAUCUGUGGUUUGGAACUGUUACACUGUUUGAAGGCACUACGGGCUUUCUGACUCUUUAAACCAGAAACAUCAGAAAGUUGUGGAAUAAAGCCUAGAAGACAAGUUUAUCCAUGAGGUAUUGGGAACCACUUCUUUCCAGAGAUCCACGGGGAAGAAGCAAAGCACUCCUCCGCCCUGCUGCUAUUUCAAGGCACGAGGAGCAGCAUCCAUUCCCAGCACUGCGGAGCUGAAGGCGCCGCUCAGAACUUCUGCAUCUCAGAGCCAUCUUUCACAGAAGAGGGUACAGAAAAUACCACCCGAAGUCCUCAGAGACUCCC